This 370-nucleotide unclassified non-coding RNA is filed under the name fungal sp. RNAcentral's name for it is "partial internal transcribed spacer region". The stretch from base 1 to 46 matches the Rfam family "Eukaryotic small subunit ribosomal RNA", at positions 1786 to 1831 of the family's 1831-position model. Lineage: Eukaryota; Fungi. The record is from RNAcentral.
AAGUCGUAACAAGGUUUCCGUAGGUGAACCUGCGGAAGGAUCAUUAUUACGUAUCCACGUAUCAAACCAAAUCGUGAACUGUUUCCCGUCUGAUGAGGAUUUCUGCGAGUGUUUGAACAUUUAUUAAAUGCAUGGUGAGGACUCCUAGUCGCAAGACUGGUUUCUUCGAAAUGGCACUCGGUCCUGGUUGCCCUCUCGGGGCUUCAGCCAGCUCAUUAGAUGUGGUUGAAUUUCAAUCACUAUGUUAAAACUAUUAACCCCUUGUAAAACACUUGAACUAAAUUACGGAGACAAGACCCUUAACCAGGAAACUAUCUCUGAUAAACCGAAACUUAAGAAACAACUCUUAACAACGGAUAUCUUGGUUCUC